RNAcentral lists this ribosomal RNA (303 nucleotides) under uncultured bacterium. Its description in RNAcentral is "partial 16S ribosomal RNA". It matches the Rfam family "Bacterial small subunit ribosomal RNA", at positions 507 to 808 of the family's 1533-position model. The record is from RNAcentral.
AGCAGUAGCCCGGGAAUACCGAGGAUGCAAGCGUUAAUCGGAAUUACUGGGCGUAAAGCGUGCGCAGGCGGUUAUAUAAGUCAGAUGUGAAAUCCUCGGGCUCAACCUGGGAACUGCAUUUGAGACUGUAUGGCUAGAGUGUGUCAGAGGGGGGUAGAAUUCCACGUGUAGCAGUGAAAUGCGUAGAUAUGUGGAGGAAUACCGAUGGCGAAGGCAGCCCCCUGGGAUAACACUGACGCUCAUGCACGAAAGCGUGGGGAGCAAACAGGAUUAGAUACCCGCGUAGUCCAUGUCUCUUAUACA